This 500-nucleotide ribosomal RNA is filed under the name uncultured bacterium. RNAcentral describes it as "bacterial SSU rRNA". It matches the Rfam family "Bacterial small subunit ribosomal RNA", at positions 29 to 528 of the family's 1533-position model. The record is from RNAcentral.
AACUAACGCUGGCGGCGUGCCUAACACAUGCAAGUCGUACGAGAAAGUUGGCUUCGGCCGAUGAGUACAGUGGCGCACGGGUGAGUAACGCGUGGAUAAUCUGCCCUUAAGUGUGGAAUAACGUACCGAAAGGUGCGCUAAUACCGCAUAAUGCCUGGCAACAUAAGUUGUCCGGCCAAAGAAGGCCUCUGCUUGCAAGCUUUCGCUAAAGGAUGAGUCCGCGUACCAUUAGCUAGUUGGUGGGGUAACGGCCUACCAAGGCGACGAUGGUUAGCUGGUCUGAGAGGAUGAUCAGCCACACUGGAACUGAGACACGGUCCAGACUCCUACGGGAGGCAGCAGUGAGGAAUAUUGGGCAAUGGGGGAAACCCUGACCCAGCGACGCCGCGUGGGUGAAGAAAUCCUUCGGGAUGUAAAGCCCUGUUGUAUGGGAAGAGCGGAAGACGGUACCAUACGAGGAAGCCCCGGCAACUACGUGCCAGCAGCCGCGGUAAUCUCGU